AUUGAACGCUGGCGGCAGGCCUAACACAUGCAAGUCGAACGGUAACAGGAAGCAGCUUGCUGCUUUGCUGACGAGUGGCGGACGGGUGAGUAAUGUCUGGAAAACUGCCCGAUGGAGGGGGAUAACUACUGGAAACGGUAGCUAAUACCGCAUAACGUCGCAAGACCAAAGAGGGGGACCUUAGGGCCUCUUGCCAUCGGAUGUGCCCAGAUGGGAUUAGCUAGUAGGUGGUGUAACGGCUCACCUAGGCGACGAGCCCUAGCUGGUCUGAGAGGAUGACCAGCCAAGCUGGAACUGAGACACGGCCCAGACUCCUACGGGAGGGAGACGUCGGGGAUAUUGCAGAAUGGGCGCAAGCCUGAUGCAGCGACGCCGCGUGUAUGAAGAAGGCCGUCGGGUUGUAAAGUAGUUUCAGCGGGGAGGAAGGGAGUAAAGUUAAUACCUUUGCUCAUUGACGUGACCCGCAGAAGAAGCACCGGCUAACUCCGUG
This 490-nucleotide ribosomal RNA is filed under the name uncultured bacterium. Its description in RNAcentral is "partial 16S ribosomal RNA". It matches the Rfam family "Bacterial small subunit ribosomal RNA", at positions 30 to 507 of the family's 1533-position model. The record is from RNAcentral.